RNAcentral lists this transfer RNA (30 nucleotides) under Elegia ebracteata. Its description in RNAcentral is "partial tRNA-Phe". The record is from RNAcentral. Lineage: Eukaryota; Viridiplantae; Streptophyta; Magnoliopsida; Poales; Restionaceae.
GUCAGGAUAGCUCAGUUGGUNGAGCAGAGG